This 422-nucleotide ribosomal RNA is filed under the name uncultured archaeon. RNAcentral describes it as "partial 16S ribosomal RNA". It matches the Rfam family "Archaeal small subunit ribosomal RNA", at positions 323 to 746 of the family's 1478-position model. The record is from RNAcentral.
CUACGGGGCGCUGCAGGCGAGAAAACUUUGCAAUGUGCGAAAGCACGACAAGGUUAAUCCGAGUGGUUUCUGCUAAAGGAACCUUUUGACAGUCCUAGAAACACUGUUGAAUAAGGGGUGGGCAAGUUCUGGUGUCAGCCGCCGCGGUAAAACCAGCACCUCAAGUGGUAAGGAUGAUUAUUGGGCCUAAAGCAUCCGUAGCCGGCUCUGUAAGUUUUCGGUUAAAUCUUUACGCUCAACGUACAGGCUGCCGGGAAUACUGCAGAGCUAGGGAGUGGGAGAGGUAGACGGUACUCGGUAGGAAGGGGUAAAAUCCUUUGAUCUAUUGAUGACCACCUGUGGCGAAGGCGGUAUACCAGAACACGUCCGACGGUGAGGGAUGAAAGCUGGGGGAGUAAACCGGAUUAGAUACCCCGGUAGUC